GACGAACGCUGGCGGCGUGCUUAACACAUGCCAGUCGAACGGAAAGGCCCUGCUUUUGUGGGGUGCUCGAGUGGCGAACGGGUGAGUAACACGUGAGUAACCUGCCCUUGACUUUGGGAUAACUUCAGGAAACUGGGGCUAAUACCGGAUAGGAGCUCCUGCUGCAUGGUGGGGGUUGGAAAGUUUCGGCGGUUGGGGAUGGACUCGCGGCUUAUCAGCUUGUUGGUGGGGUAGUGGCUUACCAAGGCUUUGACGGGUAGCCGGCCUGAGAGGGUGACCGGCCGCAUUGGGACUGAGAUACGGCCCAGACUCCUACGGGAGGCAGCAGUGGGGAAUAUUGCACAAUGGGCGGAAGCCUGAUGCAGCAACGCCGCGUGCGGGAUGACGGCCUUCGGGUUGUAAACCGCUUUCGCCUGUGACGAAGCGUGAGUGACGGUAAUGGGUAAAGAAGCACCGGCUAACUACGUG
This 468-nucleotide ribosomal RNA is filed under the name uncultured bacterium. Its description in RNAcentral is "partial 16S ribosomal RNA". It matches the Rfam family "Bacterial small subunit ribosomal RNA", at positions 28 to 507 of the family's 1533-position model. The record is from RNAcentral.